UCGAGACGGUGCAGCCGCAGAAUCUGGGUUGGCGAUAAACUGGCGGCGGAAUCGCCCCAGGCGCAGCUCCUGAGCGGUUCCGGAACCACCUCCUCGGCCGCCGUGCGGACGGGGAGGGCCAGCCAGCAGCCGCUGCAACCCCAGGGAG
RNAcentral lists this small RNA (148 nucleotides) under Wenjunlia vitaminophila. Its description in RNAcentral is "Streptomyces vitaminophilus Streptomyces-metK RNA". It matches the Rfam family "Streptomyces-metK RNA". Lineage: Bacteria; Bacillati; Actinomycetota; Actinomycetes; Kitasatosporales; Streptomycetaceae. The record is from Rfam by way of RNAcentral.